RNAcentral lists this ribosomal RNA (497 nucleotides) under uncultured bacterium. RNAcentral describes it as "partial 16S ribosomal RNA". It matches the Rfam family "Bacterial small subunit ribosomal RNA", at positions 28 to 507 of the family's 1533-position model. The record is from RNAcentral.
GAUGAACGCUGGCGGCGUGCCUAAUACAUGCAAGUCGAGCGAACAGACGAGGAGCUUGCUCCUCUGACGUUAGCGGCGGACGGGUGAGUAACACGUGGAUAACCUACCUAUAAGACUGGGAUAACUUCGGGAAACCGGAGCUAAUACCGUAUAACAUGUUGAACCGCAUGGUUCAACAGUGAAAGACGGUCUUGCUGUCACUUAUAGAUGGAUCCGCGCCGCAUUAGCUAGUUGGUAAGGUAACGGCUUACCAAGGCAACGAUGCGUAGCCGACCUGAGAGGGUGAUCGGCCACACUGGAACUGAGACACGGUCCAGACUCCUACGGGAGGCAGCAGUAGGGAAUCUUCCGCAAUAGGCGAAAGCCUGACGGAGCAACGCCGCGUGAGUGAAGAAGGUCUUCGGAUCGUAAAACUCUGUUAUUAGGGAAGAACAAAUGUGUAAGUAACUAUGCACGUCUUGACGGUACCUAAUCAGAAAGCCACGGCUAACUACGUG